This 429-nucleotide ribosomal RNA is filed under the name Fusobacteriota bacterium. Its description in RNAcentral is "Fusobacteria bacterium partial 16S ribosomal RNA". It matches the Rfam family "Bacterial small subunit ribosomal RNA", at positions 355 to 776 of the family's 1533-position model. The record is from RNAcentral. Lineage: Bacteria; Fusobacteriati; Fusobacteriota.
UGGGGAAUCUUCCGCAAUGGACGAAAGUCUGACGGAGCAACGCCGCGUGAGUGAAGACGGCCUUCGGGUUGUAAAGCUCUGUGAUCCGGGACGAAAGAGCCUGAGGUGAAUAGCCUAAGGAAGUGACGGUACCGGAAAAGCAAGCCACGGCUAACUACGUGCCAGCAGCCGCGGUAAUACGUAGGUGGCAAGCGUUGUCCGGAAUUAUUGGGCGUAAAGCGCGCGCAGGCGGCUUCCUAAGUCCAUCUUAAAAGUGCGGGGCUUAACCCCGUGAUGGGAUGGAAACUGGGAAGCUGGAGUAUCGGAGAGGAAAGUGGAAUUCCUAGUGUAGCGGAGAAAUGCGUAGAGAUUAGGAAGAACACCGGGGGCGAAGGCGACUUUCUGGACGAAAACUGACGCUGAGGCGCGAAAGCGUGGGGAGCAAACAGG